This 954-nucleotide ribosomal RNA is filed under the name uncultured organism. Its description in RNAcentral is "bacterial SSU rRNA". It matches the Rfam family "Bacterial small subunit ribosomal RNA", at positions 18 to 969 of the family's 1533-position model. The record is from RNAcentral.
CCUGGCUCAGAACGAACGCUAGCGGCGCGUUUCAGGCAUGCAAGUCGAACGGUAACAGGGGAGUUCGCUCCCGCUGACGAGUGGCGCACGGGUGAGUAACGCGUAGGUAAGCUACCCUAAGGUUUGGAAUAGCCUUACGAAAGUAAGAUUAAUACCGUAUAUGGUGAUAACUACAUAAGUAGUAAUCAUUAAAGCUCCGGCUCCUUAGGAUGUGCCUGCGUUGGAUUAGUUAGUUGGUGAGGUAACGGCUCACCAAGACUCCGAUCCAUAGCCGAGCUAAGAGGCUGAUCGGCCACAUUGGAACUGAGACACGGUCCAGACUCCUACGGGAGGCAGCAGCUAAGAAUCUUCCGCAAUGGUCGCAAGACUGACGGAGCGACGCCGCGUGAACGAUGAAGGCCUUACAGGUUGUAAAGUUCUUUUAUAGAGGAUGAAUGUAUGACGUAGGUCAUAUUGACAGUACUCUUUGAAUAAGGUCCGGCUAACUACGUGCCAGCAGCCGCGGUAAUACGUAGGGACCAAGCGUUGUUCGGAAUUACUGGGCGUAAAGGGUACGCAGGCGGUUUGAUAAGUCAGAUGUGAAAUCCCUUGGCUUAACCUUGGGGCUGCGUCUGAUACUGUCGGACUAGAGUUACUGAGAGGAAGGCGGAAUUCCUGGUGUAGGGGUGAAAUCUAUAGAUAUCAGGAAGAACACCUAUUGCGAAGGCUGCCUUCUGGCAGUUAACUGACGCUGAGGUACGAAAGGUAGGGUAGCAAACAGGAUUAGAGACCCUGGUAGUCCUACCUGUAAACGUUGUAUACUAGGUGGUGGAAGCAUUGACCUUUCACUGCCGGAGCUAACGCAUUAAGUAUACCGNCUGGGGAGUAUGCCGGCAACGGUGAAACUCANAGGAAUUGACGGUGGCCCGCACAAGCAGUGGAGCAUGUNGUCUAGUUCGACGAUGCGCGAGAAAC